UGCUCGCAUGACUGUAAGUCGCGUCGGAUAAAAGCAUCUGCUAAAUGGCAUAUA
Molecule: non-coding RNA, 54 nt
Organism: Salmo salar (Atlantic salmon)
Lineage: Eukaryota; Metazoa; Chordata; Actinopteri; Salmoniformes; Salmonidae
Source: Rfam